UCUACGGGAGGCAGCAGUGGGGAAUAUUGGACAAUGGGCGAAAGCCUGAUCCAGCCAUGCCGCGUGUGUGAAGAAGGUCUUCGGAUUGUAAAGCACUUUAAGUUGGGAGGAAGGGCAGUAAGUUAAUACCUUGCUGUUUUGACGUUACCAACAGAAUAAGCACCGGCUAACUUCGUGCCAGCAGCCGCGGUAAUA
This 195-nucleotide ribosomal RNA is filed under the name uncultured bacterium. RNAcentral describes it as "partial 16S ribosomal RNA". It matches the Rfam family "Bacterial small subunit ribosomal RNA", at positions 338 to 525 of the family's 1533-position model. The record is from RNAcentral. RNAcentral also lists the same sequence under 1 other name.